GUGGGGAAUUUUGGACAAUGGGCGCAAGCCUGAUCCAGCAAUGCCGCGUGUGUGAAGAAGGCCUUCGGGUUGUAAAGCACUUUUGUCCGGAAAGAAAUCUCCUGAGCCAAUACCUCGGGGGGAUGACGGUACCGGAAGAAUAAGCACCGGCUAACUACGUGCCAGCAGCCGCGGUAAUACGUAGGGUGCAAGCGUUAAUCGGAAUUACUGGGCGUAAAGCGUGCGCAGGCGGCUAUGCAAGACAGGUGUGAAAGCCCCGGGCUUAACCUGGGAACUGCGUUUGUGACUGGUGGGCUUGAGUGCGGCAGAGGGGGGUGGAAUUCCACGUGUAGCAGUGAAAUGCGUAGAUAUGUGGAGGAAUACCGAUGGCGAAGGCAGCCCCCUGGGAUAACACUGACGCUCAUGCACGAAAGCGUGGGGAGCAAACAGGAUUAGAAACCCUAGUAGUCC
RNAcentral lists this ribosomal RNA (450 nucleotides) under uncultured bacterium. RNAcentral describes it as "bacterial SSU rRNA". It matches the Rfam family "Bacterial small subunit ribosomal RNA", at positions 354 to 796 of the family's 1533-position model. The record is from RNAcentral.